Drosophila biarmipes is the source of this 715-nucleotide long non-coding RNA. RefSeq lists it as uncharacterized. Lineage: Eukaryota; Metazoa; Arthropoda; Insecta; Diptera; Drosophilidae. The transcript has 4 exons. The record is from RefSeq and is a predicted model, not a curated record.
UUUAGAUCAAAUAGGUAGAGCAAAAUAUUUCUCAUGCCCCGACUUAGAGUCAGGUUUUCAUCAAAUUGAACUGGAAAAAAGUUCACGGGAUAUAACAUCCUUUUCAACAAAUAAUGAGAAUGGAUGCUAGAAAAUACGCUUGUGAAGCAGUCCUAAUUCAAAACAAAAAUUGACUACAGCUUCCAGUUGCAUACGCAUCAAGAUCCUUUACGAAAGGUGAAAGCAACAAGAGCAAUACAGAACAAGAAUUAGCAGCUAUUUAUUGGGCAAUAACACACUUCAGACCAUACGACUUUGUCCUAUGAACCGCUAUUUUUCGCAUUUCUUUUUUUGUCGCUUAAGCAUAGAUCAAGCUACGCUAUAAUAUUUAUUUCAGUUAAAUUGUACAACAACAACAAGAAUAACAACUAAAAGAAGUUGGGAUGUGCAAAUAAUUGUGUGUUGUGAAAAUAAUUUUGACUAUGGUUGUAUUUAUAGUAGACACUUCACUGUCAAAACAGACCACAGAGCACUUACAUACUUAUUUUCAAUGAAUUGAAAUUCUGACCGAAACCGAUGUUUACGUUAGCGGACUUGGGGCCCCCUUUUUGGGGCUCUGGUGUUUACAAUAUCGGCUUGGAUGUUUACAGAAUCUGUUUGGAGCGGAGAGUGUGAAACUGAUCUGGGUAGGAAUUGAAUGGAGGCUUUGUUUAAAGAAUAAAAAAAAGCUCUUGGU